Long non-coding RNA from Pan troglodytes (chimpanzee), 1693 nucleotides. RefSeq lists it as uncharacterized. NCBI's taxonomy places the organism in Eukaryota, Metazoa, Chordata, Mammalia, Primates, Hominidae. The record is from RefSeq and is a predicted model, not a curated record. The transcript is spliced from 4 exons.
CUUUGUUUUUGGUGUUUUAGAGUCGGUGAAGGCUUUAAAGGAAGUAGGCAGCUGGAACCCGGCUGUGGCGGGUUGAAAAGCCCGGGCGUUUGAGAGCUGAGACUUGCCAGUUCCCACAGGCCAAGCCAGGCGUCUGCACCCCAUUCUCUUGGCUCCGACGAUGGAGUCUUGCUCUGUCACCCAGACUGGAGUACAGUGGUGUGAUCUCCGCUCACUGCAACCUCCACUUCCCAGGUUCAAGCGAUUCUCCUGCCCCAGCUUCCCGAGCAGCUGGGACUACAGAAUAUGCUCUCCAUGAGGGUGCUCUUCAGGGCCUACCACAAUGGCUGGCACUAGAGAAGGGCACAAAAUUGAAGAACAGUGAAGACAAAAGCAAUAAGAUGAUUAAGGCCAUGUGAGACAGCAACAAUAUCAGUUGAAUGUCACCCUUUAUCGAGUUCAUCUCACUCUGUUGCCCAGGCUGGAGUUCAGUGGCGCCAUCUCGACUUACUGCAGCCUUGACCUCCUGGGUUCAAGUGAUCCUUCCACUUCAGCCUCCCAAGUAGCUGGGACCACAGGCAUGUACCACCACGCCCAGCUAAUUUUUGUAUUUUUUGUAGAGACGGGCUUUCACCAUGUUGCGCAGGCUGGUCCUGAGCUCCUGGUCUCAAGCAAUCCUCCUGCCUCAGCCUCCCGAAGUGCUGGGAUUACAGACGUGAGCCAUCAGGCCCAGCCUAUAAUGGAAUUCUUAUUAUCAGAUUAGCCUUUCUGCCUUAAACAACCAUGAAACUGCCCAAAAGCUAUGAGCAACCAUUUUCAAACAAUAGACAACAGGCAGUGCAUGACAGUAAUCCCCAAGAUCACUGAUGAGAUGUUUCCCACAAUUUCUCUGUCUCUCUGCUGGCGACAGCUUUCCAAUUGCAGCAUAGCAAGCUGGAAUUCUGGCAGAGUAGGGAUGCCCUGCUGUGUUGAGAAGAGAUCAGAGUGAAGGGCUGCCGAAACCGCUGCAGUCCAUAAGUCGUGGCCCUGGAGAGAAUGGAGCUGCUUAUGUGGGAGGCAGAGAUCCACACCACGGCUUUCUCAUGAGUUCUUAGCUGAAAACUGGGCUGUACAUGUGUAGGGAAGACUACCUGAGGGUUACCAGAGAGAGGCUGCUACCCAGUUGAGAGCAAAGCAGAUAAUAGAGGUCAGGCAGAUAACAGAAUCCAGAGCCUCUACAAUGUAUCAUCCAGUGUCCUUGACACAAUCUACAAUUCCUGAACAUACAAGGAAACAGAAAAAUAUGACCCAUAGCAAAAACAACAAUCAAUAGAAGCUGACCACAAGGUGGUCCAGAUGCUGGACUUAGCAAAGACUUUAAGGAAAUUAUUAUAUGUUCAAAAUUCUAAAGGAAAAUGUGUUUAAAGAAUUAAAGGAAAAUAUGUUUAAAUAAUUAGGCCAGGUGCGGUGGCUCAAGCCGCUAAUCCCAGCACUUUGGGAGGCUGAGGUGGGUGGAUCACCUGAGGUCAGGAGUUUGAGAACAGCCUGGCCAACAUGGUGAAACCUCCUCUCUACUAAAAAUACAAAAAUUAGCCGGGCAUGGUGGCGCAUACCUGUAAUCCCAGCUACUGAGGCUGAGGCAGGAGAAUCUCUUCAACCUGGGAGGUGGAGGUUGCAGUGAGCCGGUAUUGCACCACUGCACUCCAGCACAGGUGACACGACAAGACUCUUUCUC